Molecule: ribosomal RNA, 425 nt
Filed under: uncultured bacterium
Lineage: Bacteria
Description: partial 16S ribosomal RNA
Rfam family: Bacterial small subunit ribosomal RNA
Source: RNAcentral
GUGGGGAAUAUUGGACAAUGGGCGCAAGCCUGAUCCAGCCAUGCCGCGUGAGUGAUGAAGGCCCUAGGGUUGUAAAGCUCUUUCACCGGUGAAGAUAAUGACUGUAGCCGGAGAAGAAGCCCCGGCUAACUUCGUGCCAGCAGCCGCGGUAAUACGAAGGGGGCUAGCGUUGCUCGGAUUUACUGGGCGUAAAGGGCGCGUAGGCGGACAUUUAAGUCAGGGGUGAAAGCCCAGGGCUCAACCUUGGAAUUGCCUUUGAUACUGGCUGUCUUGAGUUUGGGAGAGGUGAGUGGAACUCCGAGUGUAGAGGUGAAAUUCGUAGAUAUUGGGAAGAAUACCAGUGGCGAAGGCGAUUCUCUGGUCUGUCUCUGACGCUGAGGAGCGAAAGCGUGGGUAGCGAACGGGAUUAGAAACCCCUGUAGUCC